UUUAUUUUGGUGUAAUAUGAGCACAUAAAAUUUUGAUUUUUAAGGGAGAAAAUAACA
RNAcentral lists this transfer RNA (57 nucleotides) under Stygobromus indentatus. RNAcentral describes it as "tRNA-Gln". The record is from RNAcentral. Lineage: Eukaryota; Metazoa; Arthropoda; Malacostraca; Amphipoda; Crangonyctidae.